AUUCCAUGGUGUGGACAUCUUCGUUGCAGAUCCUUGUAUCUUUUCCAGACAUCAUGAAGGGUUUCAUUAUCACGUUGCUCAAAGCUAGUGAUGUCAGUUCUCAGCUU
Non-coding RNA from Corchorus olitorius, 107 nucleotides. The record is from Rfam. NCBI's taxonomy places the organism in Eukaryota, Viridiplantae, Streptophyta, Magnoliopsida, Malvales, Malvaceae.